GCCUAACACAUGCAAGUCGAGCGGUAGCACAGGAGAGCUUGCUCUCCGGGUGACGAGCGGCGGACGGGUGAGUAAUGUCUGGGAAACUGCCUGAUGGAGGGGGAUAACUACUGGAAACGGUAGCUAAUACCGCAUAACGUCUACGGACCAAAGUGGGGGACCUUCGGGCCUCACGCCAUCAGAUGUGCCCAGAUGGGAUUAGCUAGUAGGUGGGGUAAUGGCUCACCUAGGCGACGAUCCCUAGCUGGUCUGAGAGGAUGACCAGCCACACUGGAACUGAGACACGGUCCAGACUCCUACGGGAGGCAGCAGUGGGGAAUAUUGCACAAUGGGCGCAAGCCUGAUGCAGCCAUGCCGCGUGUGUGAAGAAGGCCUUAGGGUUGUAAAGCACUUUCAGCGAGGAGGAAGGGUUCUGUGUUAAUAGCACUGUGCAUUGACGUUACUCGCACAAGAACCCCCGGCCUACUCCCUGCCAGCAGCCGCGGUA
RNAcentral lists this ribosomal RNA (487 nucleotides) under Serratia plymuthica. RNAcentral describes it as "bacterial SSU rRNA". It matches the Rfam family "Bacterial small subunit ribosomal RNA", at positions 46 to 522 of the family's 1533-position model. Lineage: Bacteria; Pseudomonadati; Pseudomonadota; Gammaproteobacteria; Enterobacterales; Yersiniaceae. The record is from RNAcentral.